GUUGGGUAACACUAACUGGAGGACCGAACCGACUAAUGUUGAAAAAUUAGCGGAUGACCUGUGGCUGGGGGUGAAAGGCCAAUCAAACCGGGAGAUAGCUGGUUCUCCCCGAAAGCUAUUUAGGUAGCGCCUCGUGAAUUCAUCUCCGGGGGUAGAGCACUGUUUCGGCUAGGGGGCCAUCCCGGCUUACCAACCCGAUGCAAACUGCGAAUACCGGAGAAUGUUAUCACGGGAGACACACGGCGGGUGCUAACGUCCGUCGUGAAGAGGGAAACAACCCAGACCGCCAGCUAAGGUCCCAAAGUCAUGGUUAAGUGGGAAACGAUGUGGGAAGGCCCAGACAGCCAGGAUGUUGGCUUAGAAGCAGCCAUCAUUUAAAGAAAGCGUAAUAGCUCACUGGUCGAGUCGGCCUGCGCGGAAGAUGUAACGGGGCUAAACCAUGCACCGAAGCUGCGGCAGCGACACUGUGUGUUGUUGGGUAGGGGAGCGUUCUGUAAGCCUGUGAAGGUGUGUCGUGAGGCAUGCUGGAGGUAUCAGAAGUGCGAAUGCUGACAUAAGUAACGAUAAAGCGGGUGAAAAGCCCGCUCGCCGGAAGACCAAGGGUUCCUGUCCAACGUUAAUCGGGGCAGGGUGAGUCGACCCCUAAGGCGAGGCCGAAAGGCGUAGUCGAUGGGAAACGGGUUAAUAUUCCCGUACUUGGUGUUACUGCGAAGGGGGGACGGAGAAGGCUAUGUUGGCCGGGCGACGGUUGUCCCGGUUUAAGCGUGUAGGCUGGUUUUCCAGGCAAAUCCGGAAAAUCAAGGCUGAGGCGUGAUGACGAGGCACUACGGUGCUGAAGCAACAAAUGCCCUGCUUCCAGGAAAAGCCUCUAAGCAUCAGGUAACAUCAAAUCGUACCCCAAACCGACACAGGUGGUCAGGUAGAGAAUACCAAGGCGCUUGAGAGAACUCGGGUGAAGGAACUAGGCAAAAUGGUGCCGUAACUUCGGGAGAAGGCACGCUGACACGUAGGUGAAGUGAUUUACUCAUGGAGCUGAAGUCAGUCGAAGAUACCAGCUGGCUGCAACUGUUUAUUAAAAACACAGCACUGUGCAAACACGAAAGUGGACGUAUACGGUGUGACGCCUGCCCGGUGCCGGAAGGUUAAUUGAUGGGGUCAGCGCAAGCGAAGCUCCUGAUCGAAGCCCCGGUAAACGGCGGCCGUAACUAUAACGGUCCUAAGGUAGCGAAAUUCCUUGUCGGGUAAGUUCCGACCUGCACGAAUGGCGUAAUGAUGGCCAGGCUGUCUCCACCCGAGACUCAGUGAAAUUGAACUCGCUGUGAAGAUGCAGUGUACCCGCGGCAAGACGGAAAGACCCCGUGAACCUUUACUAUAGCUUGACACUGAACAUUGAGCCUUGAUGUGUAGGAUAGGUGGGAGGCUUUGAAGUGUGGACGCCAGUCUGCAUGGAGCCGACCUUGAAAUACCACCCUUUAAUGUUUGAUGUUCUAACGUGGACCCGUUACCCGGGUUGCGGACAGUGUCUGGUGGGUAGUUUGACUGGGGCGGUCUCCUCCUAAAGAGUAACGGAGGAGCACGAAGGUUGGCUAAUCCUGGUCGGACAUCAGGAGGUUAGUGCAAUGGCAUAAGCCAGCUUGACUGCGAGCGUGACGGCGCGAGCAGGUGCGAAAGCAGGUCAUAGUGAUCCGGUGGUUCUGAAUGGAAGGGCCAUCGCUCAACGGAUAAAAGGUACUCCGGGGAUAACAGGCUGAUACCGCCCAAGAGUUCAUAUCGACGGCGGUGUUUGGCACCUCGAUGUCGGCUCAUCACAUCCUGGGGCUGAAGUAGGUCCCAAGGGUAUGGCUGUUCGCCAUUUAAAGUGGUACGCGAGCUGGGUUUAGAACGUCGUGAGACAGUUCGGUCCCUAUCUGCCGUGGGCGCUGGAGAACUGAGGGGGGCUGCUCCUAGUACGAGAGGACCGGAGUGGACGCAUCACUGGUGUUCGGGUUGUCAUGCCAAUGGCACUGCCCGGUAGCUAAAUGCGGAAGAGAUAAGUGCUGAAAGCAUCUAAGCACGAAACUUGCCCCGA
Molecule: ribosomal RNA, 2068 nt
Filed under: Salmonella enterica subsp. enterica serovar Enteritidis
Lineage: Bacteria; Pseudomonadati; Pseudomonadota; Gammaproteobacteria; Enterobacterales; Enterobacteriaceae
Description: partial 23S ribosomal RNA
Rfam family: Bacterial large subunit ribosomal RNA
Source: RNAcentral